GGUUGUAUGGUGUAGUGGUAACAUCCUUGCUGGAUUUAAUGUCAAAUUGCUUUUAGCAAGUUACUCGGGUUCGAAUCCCGGUACAACCU
Molecule: non-coding RNA, 89 nt
Organism: Mycena olivaceomarginata
Lineage: Eukaryota; Fungi; Basidiomycota; Agaricomycetes; Agaricales; Mycenaceae
Source: the annotation of a GenBank genome assembly